CAGGGUGAGGUGCACUCCGAGCCGCCAGCUGCCGUGCGUCACCGCCAUUCCUUGGCACCAUGCACAGCGUGUCACAGCCUUCUCCAUUUCAUUUCUUAAUGUUCCCUGGGUCUGAAAUCCAUCAACCAGCGCUGAGAAAAAACAUACGAAGAGGAAGCCAAAGCAGAAAAGCUGAAAUGACAAAGAAGUUUAAGCAGAGAUGAAGAGAAAGCAGAAAUUUGGGGACCGGCCCGUCAGGACUUGUUCAGGCCUCACUGAUUUGCAGUCUGAAGGUAAAAACGAUCAUUAGAUCAACUGGUUCGACUGUCCCUCUGCCAUACCCAUACAGGCCCCAUUUGCUACAUCUGGCCUUUUUUUUUUUUUUUUGCAGUGAGUUGUAGUUGGCUCUUCUGUGAUGUUUCGUGAUCAAGGAACAUUGAUUUGGGGGUAUUUAAAAUCAGCUUCUGCUUAGCAGUGAUUCUCGGAGUGGGGACAGAAGGGUUUCAUUGAGAAAAAGGAGUGCCGGUGUGGGGGGUGAGGGAUGCGUAUGGCUGUGUGACUGCAGGUAUGGCACACAGGGAACCUGGGAAGGUCCAGGACUCUGCUGAGAAAGGAGAAAGUGGUUGAAAGAGGAUUCCUGGGUUGUCCAGGUCAGGACACAGAGCUCUCCUUCCUCAAGAGAUCACUGUGUUGCUAUGCAAGGGAAAGGGGAAAUCUGGUGUGGCUUUGCUGGGAGAAUGCUGCUUCGUGGCACGAUUUUGAUACCUCUCCACCAAAACCCUGGGAAAGGGGGUCAGAGCAGGUUGUGUAAGUGGGAAAGAGGUGGAUGAGGCUGUGGAGUGGGGGACAUGCUCUUGAGGCUUGUACAAGGAGUGCUUUUAAACUUAAUAAAUCUAUCCGUGUGUCAAAUGUCAGAAGAAGGCGAGGAGGGGAGGAAGGGAUGGAAAAACUGUGCACAAAGGAUGAGGAAUCUGGAGCAGCUCUGAAACCGAGGAACCUCCAGGCUGCCCUGCCUAGAGCCAGAGGCUGGGAAGCCAUUGGAGCUGGAGAUGGAGCAGUUGUGCUAAAGGGGGAUUCCCAACCUUCUGCCAUGCACCCAUCGCUCUGCGUUAAGCACAGCCUUGGGUGGGCGGAGCCCCCCAGUUUCGGGUGCCCAUUUCCAUGUGGGCACAGGGGGUCCUCCGUCCCCCCACUGCAGGUGUGGGGAUCCAACAGCAAACACAAAGCCCUGAGGCGCCUGAGGAAUAAUCCAGACCAGCUUUUGCUGGACACUGCUCCCCC
RNAcentral lists this long non-coding RNA (1260 nucleotides) under Gallus gallus (chicken). Its description in RNAcentral is "lncRNA (ENSGALG00010018190.1)". Lineage: Eukaryota; Metazoa; Chordata; Aves; Galliformes; Phasianidae. The record is from RNAcentral.